Molecule: transfer RNA, 78 nt
Filed under: Pseudomonas putida
Lineage: Bacteria; Pseudomonadati; Pseudomonadota; Gammaproteobacteria; Pseudomonadales; Pseudomonadaceae
Description: tRNA-Pro
Rfam family: tRNA
About the family: Transfer RNA (tRNA) molecules are approximately 80 nucleotides in length.
Source: RNAcentral
CGGGGCGUAGCGCAGCCCGGUAGCGCACUUUGCAUGGGGUGCAAGGGGUCGAGUGUUCGAAUCACUCCGUCCCGACCA